This 274-nucleotide ribosomal RNA is filed under the name uncultured bacterium. RNAcentral describes it as "partial 16S ribosomal RNA". It matches the Rfam family "Bacterial small subunit ribosomal RNA", at positions 523 to 796 of the family's 1533-position model. The record is from RNAcentral.
ACACGGGGGGCGCAAGCGUUAUUCGGAAUUAUUGGGCGUAAAGGGCGCGUAGGCGGUCUUGUCGGUCAGAUGUGAAAGCCCAGGGCUCAACCCUGGACGUGCAUUUGAAACAGCGAGACUUGAGUACGGGAGAGGAAAGCGGAAUUCCUGGUGUAGAGGUGAAAUUCGUAGAUAUCAGGAGGAACACCGAUGGCGAAGGCAGCUUUCUGGACCGAAACUGACGCUGAUGCGCGAAGGCGUGGGUAGCGAACAGGAUUAGAAACCCCAGUAGUCC